Molecule: ribosomal RNA, 1274 nt
Filed under: Mucilaginibacter gossypiicola
Lineage: Bacteria; Pseudomonadati; Bacteroidota; Sphingobacteriia; Sphingobacteriales; Sphingobacteriaceae
Description: bacterial SSU rRNA
Rfam family: Bacterial small subunit ribosomal RNA
Source: RNAcentral
UUACAAUGGAGAGUUUGAUCCUGGCUCAGGAUGAACGCUAGCGGCAGGCCUAAUACAUGCAAGUCGGACGGGAUAGAAGAGCUUGCUUUUCUUGAGAGUGGCGCACGGGUGCGUAACACGUAUGUAACCUACCUUAGUCAGGGGGAUAGCCUCUCGAAAGAGAGAUUAAGACCGCAUAACAUUAUGAUAUGGCAUCGUAUUAUAAUCAAAUAUUUAUAGGACUAAGAUGGGCAUGCGCAACAUUAGCUAGUUGGUGUGGUAACGGCAUACCAAGGCUACGAUGUUUAGGGGAUCUGAGAGGAUGACCCCCCACACUGGUACUGAGACACGGACCAGACUCCUACGGGAGGCAGCAGUAAGGAAUAUUGGUCAAUGGACGGAAGUCUGAACCAGCCAUGCCGCGUGCAGGAAGACGGCCCUAUGGGUUGUAAACUGCUUUUGCAGGGGAAUAAACCUCAUUACGUGUAAUGAGUUGAAUGUACCUUGAGAAUAAGGAUCGGCUAACUCCGUGCCAGCAGCCGCGGUAAUACGGAGGAUCCAAGCGUUAUCCGGAUUUAUUGGGUUUAAAGGGUGCGUAGGCGGCUUUUUAAGUCAGGGGUGAAAGACGGUAGCUCAACUAUCGCAGUGCCCUUGAUACUGAAGAGCUUGAAUGUACUUGAGGUAGGCGGAAUGUGACAAGUAGCGGUGAAAUGCAUAGAUAUGUCACAGAACACCAAUUGCGAAGGCAGCUUACUAAAGUAUGAUUGACGCUGAGGCACGAAAGCGUGGGGAUCAAACAGGAUUAGAUACCCUGGUAGUCCACGCCCUAAACGAUGAACACUCGAUGUUGGCGAUAUACGGUCAGCGUCUAAGCGAAAGCGUUAAGUGUUCCACCUGGGGAGUACGCCCGCAAGGGUGAAACUCAAAGGAAUUGACGGGGGCCCGCACAAGCGGAGGAGCAUGUGGUUUAAUUCGAUGAUACGCGAGGAACCUUACCCGGGCUUGAAAGUUAGUGAAUAGAGCAGAGACGCUCUAGUUCUUCGGAACACGAAACUAGGUGCUGCAUGGCUGUCGUCAGCUCGUGCCGUGAGGUGUUGGGUUAAGUCCCGCAACGAGCGCAACCCCUAUGUUUAGUUGCCAGCAUUUAAGGUGGGGACUCUAAACAGACUGCCUAUGCAAAUAGAGAGGAAGGAGGGGACGACGUCAAGUCAUCAUGGCCCUUACGUCCGGGGCUACACACGUGCUACAAUGGAUGAUACAGAGGGCAGCUACCUGGCAACAGGAUGCCAAUCUCA